RNAcentral lists this ribosomal RNA (253 nucleotides) under uncultured bacterium. RNAcentral describes it as "partial 16S ribosomal RNA". It matches the Rfam family "Bacterial small subunit ribosomal RNA", at positions 524 to 776 of the family's 1533-position model. The record is from RNAcentral.
UACGGAGGGUGCAAGCGUUAUCCGGAUUCACUGGGUUUAAAGGGUUCGUAGGAGGACAGGUAAGUCAGUGGUGAAAUCUCCGAGCUUAACUUGGAAACUGCCGUUGAUACUAUCUGCCUUGAAUAUCGUGGAGGUAAGCGGAAUAUGUCAUGUAGCGGUGAAAUGCUUAGAUAUGACAUAGAACACCAAUUGCGAAGGCAGCUUACUACCCGAAUAUUGACACUGAGGCACGAAAGCGUGGGGAUCAAACAGG